Molecule: ribosomal RNA, 253 nt
Filed under: uncultured bacterium
Lineage: Bacteria
Description: partial 16S ribosomal RNA
Rfam family: Bacterial small subunit ribosomal RNA
Source: RNAcentral
UACGUAGGUGGCAAGCGUUGUUCGGAAUUAUUGGGCGUAAAGGGCGCGUAGGCGGUUUGUUAAGUCGGCUGUGAAAGCCUGGGGCUCAACCCCAGAGGGUCGGCCGAUACUGGCAAACUAGAGUACGGAAGAGGUAGCUGGAAUUCCCGGUGUAGCGGUGAAAUGCGUAGAUAUCUGGAGGAACACCGGUGGCGAAGGCGGUUCUCUGGGCCUUACCUGACGCUGAGGAGCGAAAGCGUGGGGAGCGAACAGG